RNAcentral lists this ribosomal RNA (253 nucleotides) under uncultured bacterium. RNAcentral describes it as "partial 16S ribosomal RNA". It matches the Rfam family "Bacterial small subunit ribosomal RNA", at positions 524 to 776 of the family's 1533-position model. The record is from RNAcentral.
UACGUAGGGCGCAAGCGUUGUCCGGAAUUAUUGGGCGUAAAGAGCUCGUAGGCGGCUUGUCACGUCGGGUGUGAAAGCCCGGGGCUUAACCCCGGGUCUGCAUUCGAUACGGGCUAGCUAGAGUGUGGUAGGGGAGGUCGGAAUUCCUGGUGUAGCGGUGAAAUGCGCAGAUAUCAGGAGGAACACCGGUGGCGAAGGCGGAUCUCUGGGCCGAUACUGACGCUGAGGAGCGAAAGCGUGGGGAGCGAACAGG